Cavia aperea (Brazilian guinea pig) is the source of this 105-nucleotide small nuclear RNA. The record is from Ensembl. NCBI's taxonomy places the organism in Eukaryota, Metazoa, Chordata, Mammalia, Rodentia, Caviidae.
GUGUUCAACUCAGCAGCGUGAACACUAAAAUUGAAAUGAUACAAAGAUUAGCAUGGCCCCUGUUCAAGGAUGACAAGAAAUUUACUAAAAGAAAUACACUUUGAA